GCAUUACUGAGGAGUCCCAUAAUAGGACGAAGCGGCCGUGCAGUGC
RNAcentral lists this non-coding RNA (46 nucleotides) under Schistosoma mansoni. Lineage: Eukaryota; Metazoa; Platyhelminthes; Trematoda; Strigeidida; Schistosomatidae. The record is from RNAcentral.